Molecule: long non-coding RNA, 2302 nt
Organism: Pomacea canaliculata
Lineage: Eukaryota; Metazoa; Mollusca; Gastropoda; Architaenioglossa; Ampullariidae
Exons: 4
Source: RefSeq, a predicted model, not a curated record
GAAUCUAGUAAGCAGAAGAUCGCACGGCCAACUGGAGGGAUUGUGAGAUUCGGCUCCUAAUUACCAUGGUUGAAAAACAAAAAGGACUAUUUGCGACGCUUUCCAACACAUGGACAGCCAACAAACAAAAUCAAUUAUGAAAAGCUAUGGCAGUUGCAAUAAAUGCUCAUGGAGAUCAGAGAAGGGAAUGGCGGCAAGUAAAAAUAGAAAUGGUCCAGUGUAAGAGCUAGGGCCAUUACCUAUGCUAGCAUGAUGAAAAGGGUGCCAACGGGAGGAUGACCCAAAGAAGAUUGGUGGGUGCAGCCACUACUUAAUAUCAUCGGCAGAGAUAACAUGGUUAUCAUCGGAAUCGAUUUGCAAGCUAAGCUCAUUAUAACUGAUGCAUGACGGACAACGGCUGUAACAGUUUUUGCGUCAGUUCCCAAGAUUAGUCUACUCGGAAGUCCCUUUCAUUUAAUUGUACAAUUAAAAAAUUUCUUAACUGAAUCGGUUUUGCCAUUGCCACUGCAGGCAAUUGCUGUGCAACAGAUGGUUGAAGAAAUUAAGGAGAACUAUAACAUUUUGGCUCAUACAAUCAGUUUCCACAUGCGCAAGGAAACUGAUACUGUGGCUGACUCAUCACUUACAUUAACGUCUACAUCAAACAGACCUGUAAGUACCGUAGAGCGCAACAGGGCCUUUUUUUAAGGCUCGAGAAUGUGACCACUACUACUUUACAGUCCACCAUGACAGCAUCCACUGGAGGCGCUUGCACUAUCACACUCACUGGAAAAUCUGGAUCAUCUUCUUCAAAUAAACCAACCAGCAGACUCUGUCAGCUGAAACAAUAAAGGCAGCACAGCAAUGACUCAAGAAAAGAAUCAACAUUGACUGUAAGAGAUCACAAGGAGAUGUUUUUAAUUGACAAGGAGAUAAUAUCUCUAUCGAAGGUGAAUUAAUUCUGGAAAGUAGGACUUAAGAAUUUGCAGACGCAUGCCAGCGUUCAGUCACUAUAACCUUGGUGAGAGACAUGGCACUCUAUCGUGCGCUGUCUGUAGAACAUAGGCUGCUGAACACACACAGUUCAGAGCUAAGUCGACAGGAACUUUGAAGUCAUCAUUUAAGCCCAAACACCACAGUCCAGUUUUUAAAAACGUAAAUACGAUAAUGAUCAAUAUAAACACGCGAGGUCAAAAUCCUUCUCUCGAAGCACACGGACGCUGGUAUAAAAGUAUAUAUAAAAGUGGUAUAAAAGAUACGACAACCUGUGUAUUCAAUAAACACCCGCUUUCAACUGUGGAUGGUACAUAUAUAGUUCCCCGCACUCAAGCGCUUCUUUCGCAGUGAUGCUAAGCUUUUAAAUAUUUUUGUCAACUCUUUCUUGUGCGUCUCUCUAUCUGAAAGUUGAAUUAUCUUUAUAUGUAUCAUAAAAAGGCGGUCGGAUGUUUUUAGUCCAUGUAAUCUUUCAAGAAGGAAUACACGUGCAAGGUCAUCCCAAAAGACGCCCACUUGUAUUGAAGAGCCUGCAGCUCUGUAGUCUUGUGUUGCUGUAUCCCUCUCAAGGUCAUAUGUAACGAAUCCCUAAAUAAUCCAAACACCAUCUUUAAGCACGCUUAAACAUGUAAGAAGAAUGUGAAGACGGUACUGCACAGCUUCCGCGAUUCCCCCUCCCCCCAGCAAUGUCUGCGGAUGGGGAAUUGCGCACACUGCAUAAAAUUGCGCACUCCUCCUACAUCCCUGCCAAAAAAAAAAUUGCCAAAGAGGUUUUAGCUGUGACAACUAUAAAGGGUUAGAAAGAGAGGCGUGGGGGAGGUGUAGCCAGGUGGCAGCUGCGGCUGUAGUUCAUUUAACAAGAAGAGAGUAUCAGAUUCUUUACCUUUUGCUGUGUCAAGUUUGUGACUUUGCGUUCUGUGUGUAUGAUUGUGACUAACGCGCUUCUCUCUUACGCGCGCGCGCAAGCAGGGAAAAAAGUUCAGUACACUGUCAGGACAAAAGUCAAGGUAGGCAUUUUCAGUGGAAAGAACCGAAAUCUCUAGUAGGAAAAGAAAAGAAAAAGAAACCUCCGGCAUCAGCUCGCUGAGUCGUCUCUUUAUAAAUAACUGCGCGUGCACACCUCGCACCUUCUCCACGCUCUCUCCUUGUAUAGGCACGCACCACAUUGGCUUACAGGAAUCCUCACAGAGCGAGUCGACGUUUUCUGGAAAGAGGGGGAGCAGAUGGUGAUCCCGCUACACGAGCAAAGCUGAACGGUUGCUAGCCUCCAUCUCUAGCCAUCGUCCCUUCUCCACUCCUAGCGGAGCGACUCAGGACAGUCUGCAGCACG